UUCCUUUGAUAUUAAUGGUGCUCCAGGGC
This 29-nucleotide non-coding RNA is filed under the name Mus musculus (house mouse). Lineage: Eukaryota; Metazoa; Chordata; Mammalia; Rodentia; Muridae. The record is from RNAcentral.